UAGGGAAUCUUCCGCAAUGGGCGAAAGCCUGACGGAGCAACGCCGCGUGAGUGAUGAAGGUCUUCGGAUCGUAAAACUCUGUUAUUAGGGAAGAACAAAUGUGUAAGUAACUAUGCACGUCUUGACGGUACCUAAUCAGAAAGCCACGGCUAACUACGUGCCAGCAGCCGCGGUAAUACGUAGGUGGCAAGCGUUAUCCGGAAUUAUUGGGCGUAAAGCGCGCGUAGGCGGUUUUUUAAGUCUGAUGUGAAAGCCCACGGCUCAACCGUGGAGGGUCAUUGGAAACUGGAAAACUUGAGUGCAGAAGAGGAUAGUGGAAUUCCAUGUGUAGCGGUGAAAUGCGCAGAGAUAUGGAGGAACACCAGUGGCGAAGGCGACUUUCUGGUCUGUAACUGACGCUGAUGUGCGAAAGCGGGGGGAUCAAACAGG
Molecule: ribosomal RNA, 429 nt
Filed under: Actinomycetes bacterium
Lineage: Bacteria; Bacillati; Actinomycetota; Actinomycetes
Description: Actinobacteria bacterium partial 16S ribosomal RNA
Rfam family: Bacterial small subunit ribosomal RNA
Source: RNAcentral